This 92-nucleotide microRNA precursor is filed under the name Marmota monax (woodchuck). Lineage: Eukaryota; Metazoa; Chordata; Mammalia; Rodentia; Sciuridae. The record is from RNAcentral.
UGUGUGUGUUUGAGUGUGUGUGUGUAUGUGUGUGUAUAUGUGUGUGUAAAUAUAUAUAUAUACACACACACACACACACAUACACACAUACA